UACAGAGGUCCCAAGCGUUGUUCGGAUUUACUGGGCGUAAAGGGAGCGUAGGUGGCGAGCAAAGUCUAAUGUGAAAGCUCUGAGCUUAACUCAGAAAUGGCAUUGGAUACUGGCUUGCUUGAGGAUUGGAGGGGAGACUGGAAUACUUGGUGUAGCAGUGAAGUGCGUAGAUAUCAAGUGGAACACCAGUGGCGAAGGCGAGUCUCUGGACAAUUCCUGACACUGAUGCUCGAAAGCUAGGGGAGCAAACGGG
Molecule: ribosomal RNA, 253 nt
Filed under: uncultured bacterium
Lineage: Bacteria
Description: partial 16S ribosomal RNA
Rfam family: Bacterial small subunit ribosomal RNA
Source: RNAcentral